UGCCCUGCCAUUGGGCAAAGAGACACCUCACUGGCGGUGUUAUCUUAUAUCAGUCAGGGGCAGAGACGAUACAGUCCUUUGUUCAUCCUAGCUUGAUGCCUGGAUCAGUGGCCAGAGUUGUUUCAUGUCUGGGGCACAUAG
Non-coding RNA from Erinaceus europaeus (western European hedgehog), 141 nucleotides. The record is from Rfam. Lineage: Eukaryota; Metazoa; Chordata; Mammalia; Eulipotyphla; Erinaceidae.